GAUGAACGCUAGCUACAGGCUUAACACAUGCAAGUCGAGGGGCAGCAUGAUUGAAGCUUGCUUCAAUCGAUGGCGACCGGCGCACGGGUGAGUAACACGUAUCCAACCUGCCGAUAACUCGGGGAUAGCCUUUCGAAAGAAAGAUUAAUACCCGAUAGUAUAGUAUUUCCGCAUGGUUUCACUAUUAAAGAACUUCGGUUAUCGAUGGGGAUGCGUUCCAUUAGAUAGUUGGCGGGGUAACGGCCCACCAAGUCAACGAUGGAUAGGGGUUCUGAGAGGAAGGUCCCCCACAUUGGAACUGAGACACGGUCCAAACUCCUACGGGAGGCAGCAGUGAGGAAUAUUGGUCAAUGGACGAGAGUCUGAACCAGCCAAGUAGCGUGAAGGAUGACUGCCCUAUGGGUUGUAAACUUCUUUUAUACGGGAAUAAAGUGGAGUAUGCAUACUCCUUUGUAUGUACCGUAUGAAUAAGGAUCGGCUAACUUCGUG
This 489-nucleotide ribosomal RNA is filed under the name uncultured bacterium. Its description in RNAcentral is "partial 16S ribosomal RNA". It matches the Rfam family "Bacterial small subunit ribosomal RNA", at positions 28 to 507 of the family's 1533-position model. The record is from RNAcentral.